AUAAAAGCACCCUAAUCCCCCACCUCUUCACAAUGUCCUGAGUUCUUUGCUUUGCCUUUCAUUUGGAGAAAAUAACGAUGGACCAAACACGGUCUGUGCCCCCAUCUUUUCUGGCCUGGUCAAUUUUCAACACUGUGUGCUGCUGUCUUCCUCUUGGAGUGGUUGCAAUUGUUUUUUCCUCCAGAGUGAACAACGCAGUCGCCAGAGGGGACCUCACAGCAGCUGAAUCUGACUCGCGGACCGCCAAGAUCGUCAACAUCGUGGCACUCGUGCUCGGCGUCAUCAUCCUCAGCAUAGUGAUUGGACUGAAGGCGUCAGGAGCAGGAUAACAAUGCAAAUCCCAGGGUGUCCCUUUGUGUUUUGGGGAAGGGAGAAUUUAUUUUGCCACCCUUCUAUUAAGCCUCUGUGUUUUUUUGUUUUUUGUUUUGUUUUUGUCCCUGAAACAAGUUGUUUGUCCACCGGACGUGUGUCUCUCCUUGUGUAUUAAAGCGAUGCUGUUUGAGCCCUUUUCAGA
Conger conger (European conger) is the source of this 514-nucleotide long non-coding RNA. RefSeq lists it as uncharacterized. The transcript has 2 exons. The record is from RefSeq and is a predicted model, not a curated record. NCBI's taxonomy places the organism in Eukaryota, Metazoa, Chordata, Actinopteri, Anguilliformes, Congridae.